GGAGACCCAGAUUGUCAGUUUUGCCCUGAAUUAACCUUGGAGUCGGGUUGUUUGUGAAUGCAGCCCAAAGUGGGUGGUAAACUCCAUCUAAGGCUAAAUACUGGCACGAGUCCGAUAGCGAACAAGUACCGUGAGGGAAAGUUGAAAAGUACUUUGAAGAGAGAGUAAACAGUUCGUGAACCCGCUCAGAGGUAAACGGGUGGAGUUGAACUGGAAGCCCUGGGGAUUCAGCUGAUGAGUAUGGCAUGAGCUUGGGCAUAUUGGUCGGCUUUCAGAGUCCGCUUAGCUGUGGGUCCUUGCCCUAACGGGUUUGGAUGUGCGUUACGCUCAUUAGGCGUUGUGCGCUCUGUCUGUUCCGGGCCUGCUCGUCAGUGCAAUUCCUCAGGGUGUUCACCACGACCGGCGCUGCUGUCUGUCUGUUGCGGUCAAACCGGUUGGGCUUAGUCAUUUUGGCUAAGUUUGAUCGGGAUGGCAGGUAGCUCUUGAGAUUUUCUGGCUUCGGUUAGUAAAGCUCUUGAGUGUAAUUAGCCGACUGUAAUGGAUCUGUGCAGUGCGUCGGAGCUGGCGGCUUUGGUGUGUGUACGCGUGCUGUACCUUGCUGGCUUGGUCAAGUUUGGUUAAUGUGUUACCUGCUUCGGUGGGUCUAUUAAUGGCUUGACUUUGCAUGGUGAGUGGUGGCGCGUGCGACGCUAUCUAGGGCCAAAAGUCUGUGGUGUUGUGGUAAACUAUCCACCCGACCCGUCUUGAAACACGGACCAAGGAGUUUAACAUGUACGCGAGUCAUUGGGCGUUACGAAACCCAAAGGCGUAGUGAAAGUAAAGGUUCGGCUUGUCCGAGCUGAGGUGAGAUCCUGCUGUUUCUCUGCCUUGGACUACCAAGCAUUCGAGCAGUAGGCGCAUCACCGGCCCGUCUCAUGAUGUAGUCAUAUGACCUUUGGUUGUGUGCACCUUCGGGGCGGAGCUAGAGCGUACACGUUGAGACCCGAAAGAUGGUGAACUAUGCCUGCGCAGGUUGAAGCCAGAGGAAACUCUGGUGGAGGACCGCAGCGAUUCUGACGCGCAAAUCGAUCGUCUAACGUGGGUAUAGGGGCGAAAGACUAAUCGAACCAUCUAGUAGCU
This 1119-nucleotide ribosomal RNA is filed under the name Clinostomum sp. SS-2022. RNAcentral's name for it is "partial large subunit ribosomal RNA". It matches the Rfam family "Eukaryotic large subunit ribosomal RNA", at positions 223 to 952 of the family's 3401-position model. The record is from RNAcentral. Lineage: Eukaryota; Metazoa; Platyhelminthes; Trematoda; Strigeidida; Clinostomidae.